Non-coding RNA from Lonchura striata (white-rumped munia), 136 nucleotides. Lineage: Eukaryota; Metazoa; Chordata; Aves; Passeriformes; Estrildidae. The record is from RefSeq and is a predicted model, not a curated record.
UUCCAGUGCAAUGCAUGAACAAAGACAAAACCUGUACAAUUGAUAGCAGCUUUUUCCAGUACUUGGUGCAUGUCCUUAGAAGAAUCAAGGAUCAAGAACAGUUUCAGUUGCAAAGCAGGAAGCUCUCUACUAGAAU